Molecule: long non-coding RNA, 2854 nt
Organism: Aedes albopictus (Asian tiger mosquito)
Lineage: Eukaryota; Metazoa; Arthropoda; Insecta; Diptera; Culicidae
Exons: 2
Source: RefSeq, a predicted model, not a curated record
UUAUGGAUGUUUCCAAAUGAGAAAGGAGACCCUAAAAUAAUUUCAAAUAAGCUUAAAAUUCAGUUACUGUGAUUUUUCCGUGUGGUCGGUUAUUAUCUGGCCCACCCCUGCAGGGUAAAAACUACCUUUUUUAAGCAGUUUUGAGUGAGCGUGCACGGUCGGCCGUAUCUUCAUCUGUCAAACUUUUUCUCGGUCGGCCAUGUGAGAAUCCCAUUUUGUACGGGAAAUGGCGAAAUUUUGUGAAAAAAAUCUAUUUAAUAGCUCUAUCCUUGCCCAAGCAACAGGACUAUCGGAGUGAUGUUCCGUGGUGGCGGUGGUUGGUCAUUGCCCGACCGAUUCCCAAAAAAGCCAGCUGGAGGAAGUACAGCAGGUAGGUUUCUACAAGAUGAUGUUACUUCCUCAGUAGAAGGAAAGAUCUUUCGAUGGCCGGAAGCAUCAUUAUUGUUUUCUUAAGAUUCCUCCUGCUUUAGGAAGAUGGUUUAGACAAUAAUUGUUUGAAGAUUCAUUAGGAUUUGAAAGAUGAUUUCUCCUUUGACAAAUAAUUGGUCACAUGAGAAAACAUCUAAUUAUUUUUGUCGAAAUCAUCUUCCCAAAGCAGAAGGAAAAAGCAAUAAUGAUUUUUCCGGCCUUCGAAGAUCAUUCCUUCUGCUGCCAAAAAAGGUUUCUCCGUUGGUCGAAAGAAGACUUUCAUAUUCCGUAAGCCAGAACCACCGCAAGAAUCCUCUUGAAAGCAAUGAUUCCUCUGACUGCCGCAGGAUAAUUCCCCUGAUUGCCAGAUCGUGCAGCUGUCAAAUGCGAUCUCUUCUGGUAACCAGCAACUGUUGCUGAAAACAUAAACUUCUGUCAACCAGGGGAAUUAUCCUGCGGCAGUCAGAGGAAUCAUUGGUUCUGGAAGAUAAACGUUGUGGAUCAAUCUCUGAGAGUACUCGGGUAACUUCUAUGUUUACAUAUCUCAAGACUAACUAUUGAAAAAGCCACAACAACAUUUUGUAAACAAACAUGAUCUACCAGGGGACUGUUAAAUAUGGUCUUGUUUUCUUACCCCGCAUUAAAACUAUUAAGCUGCUGUAUAGUCCAUUUUACGAGCCAAUUUUAUGAAUGAAUUUUGACAGGAGGUAGCGUCCAAUAACACGUAAAAGUCAAUAUCAUCAUCAACAUUGUUGUCACUUCGUAAAAUGGCUCAUUGAAAGAUAGGUUGUCAGCCUGAGCCGUACGCUUGAGCCACAGUUAUGUUGGCUACGAAAACAUUAGUCUUGUUCAACGACCUAGGUUGAACUUGCUCGAAGUUGCUGCAUCCCGCUCUUACCCGUUUGAUGACAAAUGGGUAAGAGCGGGAUGCAGCUACUUCGAGCUAGAGACUGUAUAUAUAGAGACAUGCAAAGACGACUUCUUUUGAUUGUUGUUCUUCUUCUUCGCCAGACUUUGUUUUCAUAAUUGUAGAUUGGUUUCACUCUUUGCGGGACUGUGUUAUAAACAGACUGUACUUCGAGCAAGUUUAACCUGCGUCGUUGAACAGGACUAUUGCAUUGGUGGGAUAGGGAUGCCAGUUCCUUGGUUUCUAUCUACUUGAUGUCUUUUGAACUCCACCCACACACCUCACCACCACUAAGGGCCGAUUUCUUCACCUCGGCUUAACCGGUAAGCCAGGCUUACCCAUACAGUUAAACCUGGCUUAACGCUUAAGCCAGGGUGAAGAAAUCGCCCCUAACAGAUCUGUUAAUGGUGGUGAGAUGCGUGGGUGGAUCCCGGAAGGUCCUAAAACGACAGAAACGUGUUUGUUUACGCAAUGUUGAUGUGGCCUUUUCAAAGUUAUGAUCCAAUGAAAUGUAUUUAUAUAAUCAAUAUAUUUGAAAAUCGGAGUUUUCGACUAGCGAAGAUGGAUUGUUCUCAGAAUCCGGACCUAACUUCGGAAAUAGUGCGCUGUGUAGUAUUCCUUGUCCGAAUAUUUCGGGUUUCAGCUGCACGGAGAAUAACAUUUUUCGAAUAUCUGUAUAAUGAUUUUGUUGAAAAAAGAUAAUUAUAAAAUUUAAUAUCAGGGUGGGGCAAAUUUAGUAACUGCUGAAACUAUAAUGAAAAUUAUUAACAUUACAACCAACCAAAAUACUAUUUUGUUUUUGUUUUGUUUUAAUGCUUACUGUAAGGCUUUAUCGUGAAUUUCCAAUUAAUUUACUUGGAAAAUUCAAUAUCUGUGUGUUGCCGUUUAGAAACUGCUCAACUAGGCUCCUUAGAACUCUUUACAACACUGUGGGCCUCUACUAAUAGAGAACCCCGUAAUCCCCUCAAAUUACCAGGAGUUGUUGUAUGUAUGAAUGCUUUAACAUUAAAAGAAAUUAGCAAUUAACAUUUGAUUAUGUACAAAAUUCAAGUUGUUCAUUCUGCCCCACCUAGGGUGCUCACUUUUCUUCGCCUACUAAACGCAGUUCACUUUUAACCCUUAUGUGGCCGACAGGGUACCCAGGACCCAACGCCCAUUUAAAAAGCACGGUGUAGAAAAAAGCAAAAAGUUUGUCGGACACAUAACGGUUAAGCACGUUUAAGAUAACAUGAAAUUUUGCAAUGUGUAUGACUUAUGUUGGAAUUUCAACGAUAAGCUUUUGUCGGUUAAGGUUCAGAACAUGAAAAUCCUUUUUUGCCAACAGCGAGCAGAAUACAGACGAAUAGCAUUGAUAUUUUCAAGUAUGUUCCAACACUGCAAUCUCAUUUUAAAUAACCAUUUGAAUAUCACACGGUGUUCGUGUAGCAAGCAAGGACUCGGUCAAUAUCCCUUCUUACCUCUUGUUACCAUCGGCUUUGAGCUCUGGCUAACGUCGAUUUAUUGGCUGAUGGUUCACUAAUGCUGCCGAUUUGAUUUUAU